GGCGCCUCAGUCCAGGCGGGGGAGAUUUUAAUGAGCAAGGAAACGACCUCAAGCUGAUACACCUAUUUCCUACUUGCACCUUCACCUAGAUAUGUCCUGGCAAUUUCCUUCCUCAGCAACACGCACAAAGAAGUUAUUUACUGGUGUCGCUUUUUCCAAGUAAGAGUGAUACAGAUCUGAUUUCACACUUCCUGCAACAACCCUGUAUGAGGAUAUUGUUCUCGACUUGUUAAAGCAACCUGGCUGUAUGCAUCUGUAGCGCUAUGCUUGCUGAAUUUUGAAAUUUUUUAUUUUUUUUUCGCCCAAGAAAACCGCCAAGGGCUUUUUAGCAUCAGUGUGGAGGAUUUGGUAAGUUUUUAACUCGUUUAAAAAAGAAAAAACAUGACAUCUUUAUGAGUGAAAUUCUUUGGAGUAUGUCCUCAUUGUUCCAAUUUCAGUUUUCAGAAAUAGAGAACAAACUCACGGGUGUUUAUAAUAAGAAGAAAAUGGCAAAAUCCGCUCAGAAAAAAAGUUGUUUACACCUCAAAUGAACUGCAUUUUGUUCCAAUUUCAGCAUGUUCAGUGAGUGGGGAGCAGCGCCCCCUGGUGGUGAUCACUGUAAAAAAAAUAUAAAACAGCUACAUAGAAAACAUUAACCUUCAUAACCACUAUUUUGAUCCAGAAAUACAUGUUGAAAAUGAGCUAACUUUCUCCUCUUGAUCUCCUUCACUUUUCAGUGUUUAAAAGGUUUUCUCCAACUCAAAAUGGCCGAAGGUGGACGGAUGCUGCGGAAGUUCUCCAUCAUCCUCUCCUGCAGAGUCAAUCUUCUGGCCUGAAAGCCCUCGGUUUGUUGACUUGGUGAUGCAGCAGAUGCCCUCAACCAGGAGUUUAGACCACAAAGAAAGUUCCAUGGAAGGAAAAACUACUUGGAAAAGU
Poeciliopsis prolifica (blackstripe livebearer) is the source of this 915-nucleotide long non-coding RNA. RefSeq lists it as uncharacterized. The record is from RefSeq and is a predicted model, not a curated record. Lineage: Eukaryota; Metazoa; Chordata; Actinopteri; Cyprinodontiformes; Poeciliidae. The transcript has 3 exons.